Molecule: long non-coding RNA, 790 nt
Organism: Drosophila albomicans
Lineage: Eukaryota; Metazoa; Arthropoda; Insecta; Diptera; Drosophilidae
Exons: 3
Source: RefSeq, a predicted model, not a curated record
CUUUUUCCUUUGGCUAAACUGGACGUUAUCCAUUGCAAUGAUUUCGAAAUUAUUCGCCAUACUGGAUCUGGCACCAAUAGAUCCAGUCGCAGCAAAACUUCCAAUUCUGGUUUGUCUUAAAAUAUGGCAAACUAUUUAUGAAGAACCGCCAACCUUUUAACAUAACUAAAAUAAUAAUUUGGUAUAAUCUAUUCCAAGUUAUUUAUAAUUUUCUUAUGUUUUCGUCUGCGAUCUACAUCGUCUUCAUUAAACCAAUAUACAACUUGGAUCGCAUGCCAACUAUUGCUUUGGACCAUCACAAUAAGAAUACUGAAAGAGUAUUAGCCUAUAUUUAUUUCAUCAGUAAGAUUACAGAAGAUCUAUUAUCUUAUUAAUGAAAUAAAUAUAGGCUAAUGCUCUUUCAGUAUUCUUUUUGGGAUGGUCCAGAGCAAUAGUUGGCAUGCAAUCCAAGUUGUAUAUUUGUUUAAUGAAGAAGACGUACUGCACGUCUUCCACCAUGUUUUCAUGGUCUUUGUCUAAUAUUGGGUGAUGAGAUUCUACGGAACUGGAGGACAAUUUAUGGUAAUGGGACUCCUAAACACAUUUGUGCACGCCGUGAUGUACUUUUAUUACAUGAAUUCCCAGCGAGUUUACAGUUCAUGAUUUCGUUGUCUGCUUCAUUAUUCAUUGUAAUGUUUACGAAUUUUUAAAUUAAGACAUAUAACACGGCUCGUCAACAGAAGCAGCAUUAAGAAUUCGGAAUUAUGAAUUGUAUAUAAUUUUAAUCUAAUGUAAAUUUAAUAAACGGGAA